GUGAAUCAUCAAAUCUUUGAACGCACAUUGCACUCCCUGGUAUUCCGGAGAGCAUGCCUGUUUGAGGGUAAUUAAAAAGAAUCUCUAACCAAUUUUUUUUGGUCAAAGGCCAUGAGCUCUCCGCGUUUAUAGCGGUAGCUUGAAAUAAAUGGUUAAGUCUCAUUUUAGUCGAGACGCGUAAUAAUAUUAUUUUGAGAAAUCUUCAUU
This 207-nucleotide unclassified non-coding RNA is filed under the name Ambisporaceae sp. RNAcentral describes it as "partial contains 5.8S ribosomal RNA and internal transcribed spacer 2". The stretch from base 1 to 71 matches the Rfam family "5.8S ribosomal RNA", at positions 84 to 154 of the family's 154-position model. The record is from RNAcentral. Lineage: Eukaryota; Fungi; Glomeromycota; Glomeromycetes; Archaeosporales; Ambisporaceae.